Molecule: long non-coding RNA, 4438 nt
Filed under: Homo sapiens (human)
Lineage: Eukaryota; Metazoa; Chordata; Mammalia; Primates; Hominidae
Description: non-protein coding LINC00886:13
Source: RNAcentral
GCUUUUCGGCACCACCCAAGAUGUACUAAUGCGCCUUGUGAAGACUCACUCCCGUGGCCUCUGGGGUUCGGCAUUGAAAGAGAGGGUGGGAGAGGAAAGGAAAGAGAAGGGGAAAGGACUCAUUUGGAAGCAGUGCAUUUUUAUCAGAGGGACUGAAAAGCCUUUCGAGAAUCAGUCAAGAAAAAGGAAUGCGCAUGAGAGUCAUGCACAAGGAAAUCCAACACUGAGGGGUCACAGCAGAGGGACGGAAAGCACCUGGAUCUUACAACAUUGUUGAGCUCUUUUGUCUCUUGACUUCUAGUUAUGAGAUGUAAUUUUCUUACUGUUAAAGUCAUUUCUGUUCCUUGCAACCAAAAGCAUUCAUUGAUACACUGAAUAUAGUACAAUAUUUAUUCAAUCAAUAAAUGCCUGGCAAAUUACCCAAGUAUGAGUAAUUGUAGUUUGUCUCACAGCUAUUCUUUCAAGUAAAAGUGAUGCUCCAUGACAAAAACGGCUAGUUUAGCUUGUAACACAAACAACUGCACAAGUGCUUUUCCUUCAGACAAGUAUUGUACUUUCAUAUGUAACAGAUGUAUGUGCUUUAUGCAUGUUCCCAUUUCAUAACACAGAGUAUUAGAAACAUGUAUACUUCAGGGUUGAGAUCUCAUAAAAUGAGUAGUUUUCACAGCUUCAUUGAGGACACUCUUAAAUGAAACUGGCAGGUUUUUUUUUUUGAGUACUAGGAAAUGGGUGGCAGUAAAGAAUACAGUAACUAUUAAUAUAGUGUGGUGCUACUGCCUUGAAUUGUGCUAAGGCAUCGGCAGUUUUCGUCAUCAUUGCUUUGACAUCAUCAGUGCAGGUGUCAAUACAGUGAAAAAGGUAAAUGGCAUCUUGGUGUGAUUAUGGAAAUAGAUUGAUCUAAUGGACCGCCUGAAGUAGGCUUGGCCUCCCCAGGGAUCUUAGAGAACUGCUAUAGUAGGUGAUUACUUGGGAAACAAAAUCUCUUAGGAGAAGUUAUGGAUACAAAAUGGUUAUUGUUGAGGCCUGGAAGAGACUGAAUUAUGUGCCAUAUCAUGGUUCUGACUCCUUUAUUUGGGUCAAUGUCACUAUUGCCUCAGUGACUGCCAGCACAUGGGGCUGGUAACAGAGGAGUCCUAGGAGUAUCCAGGUGCUGAGGUGCUUGUGAGGCCUUAGGCUGGAGGGCACAGCAAAUGGGCUCACCCAGUGCUACCAGUUACAGACACAUUCACAAGACUGUGAAUCCACAACUCAGUUCUUUAUUUCCCUCUUCAGCCUGUUAGGUAAUUUAUCAUGUACUCAGCUUAGAAACACACUAUUUAGUGUAGUCUGAUUUCUGUUUAUAAUUCUUAAAAUACUCUUAUUAGUGAAGUCUUCUAAGUUCAGCCUUUUCUUGAGCUAAAAUUUCUCCGAUGCUGAAUAACUAUUAAAUAAUGAAUGUGUUGUUUCACUCGGAGGGGCAACAAGAUUCCCUCAAGCAGCACCUACCCCCACUGCUUGCCAGAAACAGGCAUUUUGGCAACACCACAAAGCACCAACUUUCGAGGUCUCACUGAGCCAGUCCUUGUUUCCAGGAAAGAAAACCCAUGUUCUUGAGCCAGAACGAAUGCUCUAAAGGCUGAGAUUCUCUUUUCUCUUGCUAGAGAGGGAAGAAUGACAAUGGUUUGCUUGGAUUCCUAUAGUGGGAAAGCCAUCUAGAAAUUCUAGCCAGGCAGAUAUCUCUCACAUGGAGAUACUGUCCCUUGACUCAUGAAUGCACUGUGGAAUUUGCCCUGGUGCCUUCUGAAGGGUUAAAGAAAAGGAUCCUAUUCCUUACUAGCAGUGAUGCUGAGGCCUGAAUCAAAUUAGGGAAAAGGCCAGUCAUGCUGUUGCCUGCUAUAUUUACUGAGAUAAUUUCUUAAAGCACAGAAGCAAGACAGACAAUCCAAAAAAUCGACAUGAACUUGUUCUGCAGAGUAAAGAUAGUUUCUGUCUUACUGCAUUGCUAUGAAAAAAAAAAAAUUUUAGAUCUGAAUGUGGCAAGGAAACAAGCUCCCUAGAUCGUCAGAGAAAUGACUGAGUUUUAGCAAGUUUUUCCUAAUUUUUGACCUAAAAUGUUCUUUCCUUCAGUGCCUCCCUGGAGUUUUUGUUUUGUUUUAUUUUUGUUUUCUAACACAAAAAAACACCUGCAUCACACAUUCUUACCCUCACUUUUGUGCUCUGUGUUGGAAACACAGGAGUUGUAAUGAUGUCUUUGGCUCUGGGCCUCUAAAUCUUCAUAGUGAAUUCAUCAAACUCUACACCUCAGGACCAGUCCAAAGCUUGGAAGGGAAAGAGGAGGAAGCAGGGGUUAUAAACAUACGCCAGGCAAUUUUUUUCCCCGUAUCUAGGUCAUUUUACUUUUCUCUGUGUAAAAUGCCUGGCCUUGGUGUUUUUGAGUGUGCAUGUAAACUCAGACUUGGCAGUGGGGAACAUGCAGUCAAACUUCUACAAUAUUCCUGGUGAUUGGCCUUUUAUAUCCCUAUCCUUGCUACUCCUUUUACCUUGACAUUGAACAUUUGCUCAGUACUUUAGCUCUUAUUAUUGUGUUGGUAGAACACCUUUUUCCCCUUAAGCACAGUUCUAGUACAUUAUUUCUGUGUUGUAUUAGAAAAAGGGAUGGAGCAAUAAGUUGGGAGAUUUUGCAUCCUAGUUCUGCCAUUAAAUGGCCAUAGAUACUGGAAAAGUCAUGUUCCUGUUCUGGGCUUCAUCUGUAAAAUGGGGAUUGGAGAGAGGGCUAAAUUUCCAGUGGUCCAUAGAUCUGGUGACGUGGUUUAGAUAUUUGUCUCCUCCAAAUCUCGUGUUGCAAUGUGAUCCCCAGUGCUGAAGGUGGGGCCUAGUGGGAGGUGUUUGGAUCAUGGGGGCAGAUUCCACAUGAAUGGCUUGGUGUCAUGCCAACAGUAACGAGUGAGUUCUUGAUCUAUGAUCUAUUAGUUCACGUGAGAGCUGGUUGUUAAAAGAGCCCAGCACCUCUCCCAACUCUCCCUUGCUUUCCUCUCUCGCGUGUGAUACACUGGCUCCCCUUUUGCCUUCUGCUAUGAAUAUAAGCUUCCUGAGGCCGUCACCAGAAGCAAAUGCUGGCUGUAUGUUUCUUAUACAGCCUGCAGAACUCUGAGCCCAAUAAGCUUCUUUUCUUAAUAAAUUAUCCAGUCUCAGGUAUUCCUUUAUAGCAAUGCAAAAUGGACUAACACAACUAACAUUUUUAGCAAAGUCUUCUUUCCACCACUUCCUUCCACUGGGCAUUUUAAGACAGCAGUGCUGAGAUAGGCUUUUGGGAACCAAAACCUAGAGUUGAUGGGUUCUAGGUCCUUGUCAAGCCUAAUGUUAGUUUUUUUCUCUCUUUCUCCAAAUGUCAGGUUUUCUAUCACCCCACCACUUCAAUAGUUUGCACUUAAUUUACCGAAGCUUCUGUGCUUUCUAGGUGGUUCACAUGGCUUCACUCCCCCUAACUCUCCGUGCUAUAUUCUAAACCUUUCACAGUCUAAAAGACAUGGGCAUUUGGUAAUUUUUAAAGUACCUUCUUCAUUUAAAAGAAUGAAAUGGAGUCUCAGAGAAGUCAGCUGAUGGCAAGCUCUCACAAGUUGGGUCAAAGGACAGCAAGUAGGUGAGGCGAAGCCCUGAAUUCCUCAAGUAGCACAUCCUAGUGGCCGCAUGAAGAGGCUUCUGGUGAAAGGGAAGAAAAGAGUGCUGCCAGUUUCUAGGGAAGCAGACGGGCAUAUGAGUGCUGCCCAGAGCUGCCACACACAGGGCCGCUGAGGGCCAACUUAAGUUCCUACUCCUGUGACCAAGAAUGACAAGCUCCCACCUACAUUGCUGGCCUACAUGUUUGAGACAUUCAAGCACUCAGGGAAUACAAACAUUUACUCUCUGGAUGUGCGAUGUUAGUGCUGCCUGUGACCAAAGGAUGAACUAAAGAAAAUAAAAUUAAAAAGAAACAGUGAGAGAAGCCAGUUGGCUACCUGUAGAAAAAGAGGGGAAUCUUGGUGGUUCUAAGGGAAACAAAGAUAACAAACUAGGAAAAUAAUUCAAGAACACACAGACCAAGUAGUAAUAUACAUGAAAAUACAGCAUGAAAGAAGAUCCCUUCAUAUAAAAGUUAAACAUUGAGAAGAGGAUUUUAUGUGGUGACUUAAAACUAUUACCCCCUUCUAUGUUUUCUCCAAGAGGCUAGUAAGGACUCAUUUAAAACAAGCAUUAGAAAUAAGAUUUGCCAAUAAGAUAAUUGAAACAAUAUAUAGAAAUUGAGACAAAAUUCUGGGCACAUCUUACCUAUAUAUUUUGUUAAGCCACUAUAAAAAAAUAGUGACAUUUCCAGUUAAUAUGCUUAUCAUUCUAAACCUACCAUCAGAUAACUCAAAAUUAUAAGGAGUUGGCAUCAGGAACUAAAGGAAAAUAGCCUAUCAGAAAGUCAACAGUGGCAGAA